Molecule: ribosomal RNA, 470 nt
Filed under: uncultured bacterium
Lineage: Bacteria
Description: bacterial SSU rRNA
Rfam family: Bacterial small subunit ribosomal RNA
Source: RNAcentral
ACUCCUACGGGAGGCAGCAGUGAGGAAUAUUGGUCAAUGGAGGGAACUCUGAACCAGCCAUCCCGCGUGUAGGAAGACGGCCUUAUGGGUUGUAAACUACUUUUAUACAGGAAGAAACGUACCCUCGUGAGGGUGCCUGACGGUACUGUAGGAAUAAGCACCGGCUAACUCCGUGCCAGCAGCCGCGGUAAUACGGAGGGGUGCGAGCGUUAUCCGGAUUUAUUGGGGUUUAAAGGGUCCGUAGGCGGAUUAAUAAGUCAGUGGUGAAAUCCCAUAGCUUAACGAUGGAACUGCCAUUGAUACUGUUAGUCUUGAAUGAGGGUGCAGUGGUUGGAAUGUGUAGUGUAGCGGUGAAAUGCAUAGAUAUUACACAGAACACCGAUUGCGAAGGCAGAUCACUAACCCUAAAUUGACGCUGAGGGACGAAAGCGUGGGGAGCGAACAGGAUUAGAUACCCUGGUAGGCUAGCG